Molecule: ribosomal RNA, 424 nt
Filed under: Thenus indicus
Lineage: Eukaryota; Metazoa; Arthropoda; Malacostraca; Decapoda; Scyllaridae
Description: partial 16S ribosomal RNA
Rfam family: Archaeal large subunit ribosomal RNA
Source: RNAcentral
CGGUAUAUUGACCGUGCGAAGGUAGCAUAAUAAUUUGUCUUUUAAUUGAGGACUAGUAUAAAUGGUCGAACAAAAAGUUAGCUGUCUCUGAGUCAUAUCUUGAAUUUAACAUUUAAGUGAAAAGGCUUAAAUAAUUUAAGGGGACGAUAAGACCCUAUAAAUCUUUAUAUUAAUUAGUUGUUAAAUUAGAAAAUAGAAUUAAUUCGGGGUUUAACAAUUUUAAAUAUUUUGUUGGGGAGACAGAAGUAUAAAUAAAUAACUACUUUAUAUAAAAAGUUAAUGAUAUUUAAUGUAGAGACCCUUUACUAAGGGUUAUAGAACAAGUUACUUUAGGGAUAACAGCGUAAUUUCUUUUGAGAGUCCAUAUCGAAAAAGAAGCUUGCGACCUCGAUGUUGAAUUAAAGAUCCUAUAAUAACGCAGAAG